ACCUUCGCGCGUGUUUCAGGUGCCCCGCCAGCAACGUCUGGCCAGGGUGAAACUGGGAAGUCGGUGAGUGCCCACAGGGUGCGAUUCCGGCGCUGCCCCCGCAACGGUAAGUGAGUGACGGCCGCGCAGGGCCACUGGGUGACCAUACCCGGGAAGGCGCGCAGGUCAGGGCCAGCGGCCCGCUCACGAGCCCGGAGACCGGCCUGAUACUGCCAACGGCA
This 221-nucleotide non-coding RNA is filed under the name Pseudomonas sp. Lineage: Bacteria; Pseudomonadati; Pseudomonadota; Gammaproteobacteria; Pseudomonadales; Pseudomonadaceae. The record is from RNAcentral.